GUGGAGUUCUAUCUACCAUACAGAAUAAACUGACAAAGCACAGAGAGACCAGGAUAAGAGCUCUGUGAAAAUGGUAACUGUCAGGCUGACACUGACCCCAUCUAAGAGACUAACAACAGCCCAGUGACUUCAGGAGCUUUAUUUAGAAACCACUAUCAGAUCACUGCUGAAAAAUUCAAGUAAACUGAGACAAGAAGAGGAAUGAGAUUUAUUAGCUUUCACACAGGGUGAAAACAGCAAGAGCUAGAACAAUAUGAUGCAUUUUAAGUUCAUUCUAAAAUGCAGUAAAAAGCUUAUGA
Molecule: long non-coding RNA, 299 nt
Organism: Mauremys mutica (yellowpond turtle)
Lineage: Eukaryota; Metazoa; Chordata; Testudines; Geoemydidae
Exons: 3
Source: RefSeq, a predicted model, not a curated record